This 253-nucleotide ribosomal RNA is filed under the name uncultured bacterium. Its description in RNAcentral is "partial 16S ribosomal RNA". It matches the Rfam family "Bacterial small subunit ribosomal RNA", at positions 524 to 776 of the family's 1533-position model. The record is from RNAcentral.
UACGUAGGUGGCAAGCGUUGUCCGGAUUUACUGGGUGUAAAGGGCGUGUAGCCGGGCUUACAAGUCAGAUGUGAAAUCCGGGGGCUCAACCCCCGAACUGCAUUUGAAACUGUAGGUCUUGAGUAUCGGAGAGGCAGGCGGAAUUCCUAGUGUAGCGGUGAAAUGCGUAGAUAUUAGGAGGAACACCAGUGGCGAAGGCGACUUACUGGACUGUAACUGACGCUGAGGCAUGAGAGCAUGGGGAGCAAACAGG